CUGUGCGAAUUACAAUGCGAAGAAGAGGAGGAGGACGACGAUGACCGCGAGCUUCAUGGGUUUAUAGAUACUCCUUGGCAGCCAGUCUUUGUAUGGAGUCCACCGUGAUCUACUGUAUAGAGGGUCCAGUGACUACUAGGGGGUCUCUGCAAACUUUCAAUGAGGACCAUUAGACUUCUUGAGAAGGAUUGGCUCAGGGAAGGAUUGACUGUAACCAUCUCACCCCAACCCCUGGGUGCAUCAGCAUUGGAUAUUAUGGGUUAAACCUCCUGUCUAUUGUUUAGGGUCACUAAUGGUUAAAGAAGUGGACUUGUGUUCAGAUGGAUGAAGAUUCAGUCUCAGUACUAGCAGGGAUUGUACAUGUUGGGAUUGAAUAACCAGCACUCUCAACACACUCUAUACCAGUGGUGGGCAAACUUUUUAGACCUGAGGACCACAUUAAGUUUUGCAAACUAAGUGAAGGGCCACUUGUCAAAUUCUUCAAAAAAUAACUUUAUUUAUAGUGGCAGUAUGCAUGAAACCUGUAAUAUCAGACAGCAACAUGUCACAUUAACACAAAACAGACUUUUUUAUAUUAUUAAGUCAAAUUUACAAGUCAAAUUAAUUUGCACUGCUAUUUAUAUUUACUUAUCAAUUAUCAUAAAACAAUAAAAUAAUCCCUUAUAAAGUAUAAUAAUAAUAAUGUAAUAAUUUUUACUGUGGAAAAUAGAAAAGAUAUUGUCUGAUAGAAAACAAAUCUCAUAUUAACACAUUAUAAAUAAUUCUUAAAGUUUACUAUUCAGUCAAGUUUACAAUAAUCUAAUUUGCACUGCUUUUAGAAUAUAUCAAUCAUAAUAAAACUUGAUAAAACCAUAAAACUUUGAUAAAAUAACUUUAAAGUGGAUGUGUGCAUGGAAAAUAUAUUCUAUGACAAAAACUCAUUUAACCAGCAAUUAUUAUAUAAUUUGAGUCAAAUUUACAACAAUCUGAUUUGAGCUUGUGUUAAUAUGCUCAUAUCAAUCAUAAAACUAUGAGAUAAAACGAAAGAAGAAUCUUAGUCUUUUUUUAUUCUAAGUCAAGUUAUUAUGAGUGUGUUAAUGUGAACAAUGAGCCUGGUCCCCUCUCUUCGCAAGGGUGUCAAAGUCUGGAGUCGGCUACGAUUAAAAACGUGAGGCGCAGCCGGUGGUUAAAACGCGAGGUGUGUAGAGCACAUAAGCAGCGCGCAAAACCGUCGCAGCCGAUAGUAAACCGUUCAAAAUAGGCACCUCUUAACGCAUAAAUCGCUUUCCGUGUGAUCAUCCUUUUAGAUUGUAGUCUUUAAAAACAGCAAUACUUUCUUGGCAUAUUAGACCUACUGCUUUCUGUCCGAUAUUGGUGAAGUAUUUUGUUGUUCAUUUUUCCUUAAACACACAACAUACAGAGUC
Long non-coding RNA from Danio aesculapii, 1403 nucleotides. RefSeq lists it as uncharacterized. The record is from RefSeq and is a predicted model, not a curated record. The transcript is spliced from 3 exons. Lineage: Eukaryota; Metazoa; Chordata; Actinopteri; Cypriniformes; Danionidae.